AUUGAACGCUGGCGGCAGGCCUAACACAUGCCAGUCGAGCGGGUGAAGGGAGCUUGCUCCUGGAUUCAGCGGCGGCGGGGGGAGUAAUGCCUAGGAAUCUGCCUGGUAGUGGGGGAUAACGUCCGGAAACGGGCGCUAAUACCGCAUACGUUCUGAGGUAGAAAGAGGGGGAUCUUCAGACCUCACGCCAUCAGAUGAACCGAGGCUGGAUUGGCGAGUUGGUGGGGUAAAGGCCUACCAAGGCGACGCUCCGUAACUGGUCUGAGAGGAUGAUCCGUCACACUGGAACUGAGACACGGUCCAGACUCCUACGGGAGGCAGCAGUGGGGAAUAUUGGACAAUGGGCGAAAGCCUGAUCCAGCAAUGCCGCGUGAGUGAAGAAGGUCUUCGGAUGUUAAAGCCCGUUGAGUGGGGAGGAAGGUCAGUAAAUUAAUACCUUGCUGUAUUGACGGUACCAACAGAGUAAGCACCGGCUAACUUCGUG
This 484-nucleotide ribosomal RNA is filed under the name uncultured bacterium. RNAcentral's name for it is "partial 16S ribosomal RNA". It matches the Rfam family "Bacterial small subunit ribosomal RNA", at positions 30 to 507 of the family's 1533-position model. The record is from RNAcentral.